RNAcentral lists this small RNA (97 nucleotides) under Vibrio sp. RNAcentral describes it as "Guanidine-I sequence". It matches the Rfam family "Guanidine-I riboswitch aptamer". Rfam says of the family: This family represents a conserved RNA structure found upstream of the ykkC and yxkD genes in Bacillus subtilis and related genes in other bacteria. The function of this family is unclear although it has been suggested that it may function to switch on efflux pumps and detoxification systems in response to harmful environmental molecules. RNAcentral also lists the same sequence under 1 other name. The record is from RNAcentral. Lineage: Bacteria; Pseudomonadati; Pseudomonadota; Gammaproteobacteria; Vibrionales; Vibrionaceae.
UAAAAAGACAUCUAGGGUUCCGGCUGCAUCGCAGUGACUGGUCCGAGAGUUGUCAACCUCUUAUGAGGUCACACGGCGGGACAAAAGCCCGGGAGAA